GGUGUCUCGCUCGCACUAGUGCAGCGAGUGUUCCUCGUGCGUUCCCUUUCUUGCUACCACACAAAAUCGUCAGUACAGUUCAAGCCUUCGCAGCGUGAGGCCGCGCGCGUUUUAGCCUAAGUCCCGGGCGCUCGAUGUAAUUUGAAUAUUCAACAUACACAACAUACAGGCAGUAAGGCGGGUGCUUGAAGUGACGAUUUUUUUAUUAUUUAUAAUAAAAAAUAUGUGUGGUUUUGUGGCAAGAUUGUGGUUAGCGAUGUGUGGAACUGUGCCUUAAGUUUCAAUAAAGUGUUAAAAUAUCAACCGA
This is a long non-coding RNA of Anopheles merus, 307 nucleotides long. RefSeq lists it as uncharacterized. The transcript is spliced from 2 exons. The record is from RefSeq and is a predicted model, not a curated record. Lineage: Eukaryota; Metazoa; Arthropoda; Insecta; Diptera; Culicidae.